GAUGAAGAACGCAGCGAAAUGCGAUAAGUAAUGUGAAUUGCAGAAUUCAGUGAAUCAUCGAAUCUUUGAACGCACCUUGCGCUCCUUGGUAUUCCGAGGAGCAUGCCUGUUUGAGUGUCAUUAAAUUCUCAACCUCACCAGUUUUCUGAACUGAGCGAGGCUUGGAUGUGGGGGUUUGUGCAGGCUGCCUCACGGCGGUCUGCUCCCCUGAAAUGCAUUAGCGAGGUUCAUGCUGAACUUCCGUCUAUUGGUGUGAUAAUUAUCUACGCCGUAGACGAGGAUCAGACUCGCUUCUAACCGUCCGCGAGGACAAUACCUUGACAAUUUGACCUCAAAUCAGGUAGGACUACCCGCUGAACUUAAGCAUAUCAAUAAGCGGAGGA
RNAcentral lists this unclassified non-coding RNA (383 nucleotides) under soil metagenome. Its description in RNAcentral is "partial contains 5.8S ribosomal RNA, internal transcribed spacer 2, and large subunit ribosomal RNA". The stretch from base 1 to 120 matches the Rfam family "5.8S ribosomal RNA", at positions 35 to 154 of the family's 154-position model. The record is from RNAcentral.